CAGCAGCCGCGGGAAAACGAAGGGGGCUAGCGUUGUUCGGAUUUACUGGGCGUAAAGGGCGCGUAGGCGGACUGAUAAGUCAGGGGUGAAAUCCCAAGGCUCAACCUUGGAACUGCCUUUGAUACUGUUUGUCUUGAGUUCGAGAGAGGUAAGUGGAACUGCGAGUGUAGAGGUGAAAUUCGUAGAUAUUCGCAAGAACACCAGUGGCGAAGGCGGCUUACUGGCUCGAAACUGACGCUGAGGCGCGAAAGCGUGGGGAGCAAACAGGAUUAGAUACCCCAGUAGUCCCUGUCUCUUAUAC
RNAcentral lists this ribosomal RNA (301 nucleotides) under uncultured bacterium. RNAcentral describes it as "partial 16S ribosomal RNA". It matches the Rfam family "Bacterial small subunit ribosomal RNA", at positions 509 to 807 of the family's 1533-position model. The record is from RNAcentral.